This 77-nucleotide transfer RNA is filed under the name Klebsiella pneumoniae. RNAcentral describes it as "tRNA-Val(gac)". It matches the Rfam family "tRNA". Rfam says of the family: Transfer RNA (tRNA) molecules are approximately 80 nucleotides in length. Lineage: Bacteria; Pseudomonadati; Pseudomonadota; Gammaproteobacteria; Enterobacterales; Enterobacteriaceae. The record is from RNAcentral. RNAcentral also lists the same sequence under 1 other name.
GCGUUUAUAGCUCAGUUGGUUAGAGCACCACCUUGACAUGGUGGGGGUCGUUGGUUCGAGUCCAUUCAGACGCACCA